GACGAACGCUGGCGGCGUGCUUAACACAUGCAAGUCGAGCGGAGCGGCGAACGGGUGAGUAACGCGUGAGUAACUGCCCCCCUCUCUGGGUUAACAGUUGGAAACGGCUGCUAAUACCGGAUAGUGGGGGAUGACUCGCGUCCUAUCGGCUUGUUGGUGGGGUGUUGGCCUACCAAGGCGACGAGGGGUAGCCGGCCUGAGAGGGGGACCGGCCACAUAGGGCUGAGGUACGGCACAAACACGUACGGGAGGGAUGAGGGGGGAAUAUUGCACAAUGGGGGAAGCCCUGAUGAAGCAACGCGCGGGCGGGAUGACGGUCUUCGGGUUGAAAACCGCGUUGAGCCAUGACGCGGUAGUGGCAGAAGAAGCACCGGCUAACUACGUGCCAGCAGCCGCGGUAAUUC
This 404-nucleotide ribosomal RNA is filed under the name uncultured bacterium. RNAcentral describes it as "partial 16S ribosomal RNA". It matches the Rfam family "Bacterial small subunit ribosomal RNA", at positions 28 to 526 of the family's 1533-position model. The record is from RNAcentral.